This is a long non-coding RNA of Toxorhynchites rutilus septentrionalis, 787 nucleotides long. RefSeq lists it as uncharacterized. Lineage: Eukaryota; Metazoa; Arthropoda; Insecta; Diptera; Culicidae. The record is from RefSeq and is a predicted model, not a curated record. The transcript has 3 exons.
AGAAACGUCAGUUGUGUUUUGUUUUGUUUAUCCUCGAGUUGUGUUGAUACAUCCAGAAAAUGGAUUUCUAAAAAAAAGCUUCCAAAUCCUUUGUAAUGCAAACAGUAGAAUGUACAUAUUUUCUGCAACCGCGAAGAAAAUGUAAAUACAACUUUAUUAGCCUAACUACCGAGUUGUUAAUUGAGUUGCACGGCACUACUUUCCGAUAUUGAUUUCUUCACAGAAGACGGUCGUAUUAACUCAGAUUCGAGACAGCAAUGAUUUGUGCUCGUCUGCUGCGGGAGAAUGCGAAGACAUUACUUCAAUAAUAAGGAAUCUGGGUACUUCGAUACACAAAACGAGCCCUGUCGAGUCCUAGUUCUACCUUUAUCCUGUUGGAUUUGAUCAAGGACAACUUCAUAAUCGGUAGUUCAAUCAAUUGGAUGUUUUCCGGAUUCGUCACGACGCAGGUUCCGUAUCCACUGACUCUGCGCGUUAAGUCAAUGUUGCAACGGGGCGUUGAGCUAGCCUCACUUAAUGCCGUCUGGGUUUCGUCAGCUUCGUGAUAUCUCCCGAAUUUGUUUGACUGAGAAGUAAUUAUACGCUGGUCCUGGGAGAAUUGAGUAGUCUGUCGUAGCUAUUUGUAGUAAUAAUUGUGUUUUUUUUUCCUAAUUUGUAGCCAUGGAUCAGACCCAAUCGAUACAGGAUCAGCUGUCGAUAGUUCAGAUAGUUUAAUAAAUAAUUUAGAUAGUUCAAUAAAUGAAUAAAGAUGCAUACAAAAGCUCAAUAAAAUCAUAACAAUAUAUGC